UCUCCCCAUCCCUUUCUCCCUCUGUAAAUGUGUGUGUGUGUGUCUGUGUGUGUGUAUAUAGAAACAUCUCUCUCCAUGCUUUCAGUUCACACUCAGCUCUCCACUGCUUGGCAGAGAGGAUAGAUGUAAGACUGAAGCGAGGGGAGGGGGACACAACCAAAGGGGGAGAUUCUUCGAACACAUUUCUGUGACUUUCUUUCUUUCUUUCUUUCUUUCUUUCUUUCUUUCUUUCUUUCUUUUCUUCUCACACACAAAGUGCCUUGCUCUCUGUCUGUCCUUUCCGCCUUCCCAUCCUUCUUGUUAAGAGUGUUUGGACAGUGGCUGCAUCGAUGCAAAAUGGGCUGUGGCAAUUCCUCAGUCACCAGCAACACAGGAGGGGGACAGAAGAUCCAUCGGCAGAGGAUGAGAAAAGAAGGAACUAUGGGGGCGUAUACGUAGGUCUGCCAGCAGACCUGACCACAGUGGCUG
Long non-coding RNA from Solea solea (common sole), 468 nucleotides. RefSeq lists it as uncharacterized. The record is from RefSeq and is a predicted model, not a curated record. The transcript has 3 exons. NCBI's taxonomy places the organism in Eukaryota, Metazoa, Chordata, Actinopteri, Pleuronectiformes, Soleidae.